UACGAAGGGUGCAAGCGUUACUCGGAAUUACUGGGCGUAAAGCGUGCGUAGGUGGUUUGUUAAGUCUGAUGUGAAAGCCCCGGGCUCAACCUGGGAACUGCAUUGGAAACUGGCAAGCUCGAGUAUGGCAGAGGGGGGUGGAAUUCCGCGUGUAGCAGUGAAAUGCGUAGAGAUGCGGAGGAACACCGAUGGCGAAGGCAGCCCCCUGGGCCAAUACUGACGCUCAGGCACGAAAGCGUGGGGAGCAAACAGG
This 253-nucleotide ribosomal RNA is filed under the name uncultured bacterium. RNAcentral describes it as "partial 16S ribosomal RNA". It matches the Rfam family "Bacterial small subunit ribosomal RNA", at positions 524 to 776 of the family's 1533-position model. The record is from RNAcentral.